UUGACAUGUGCUUAGAAGAAAGGAUCAACUCAGGAGAAGUGUUCUUCUCUGGUCACAUAUUGACCUUCCCCUCAUUAGCAUGGCAGCCCCUCAUUAUUCUGGGACUUCACCAAGAUGAGAUCUACAGUUGCACCUUUUGGAAUGCUGACCAUGUCUUUUCCAUAUCUGGAGUGGGCUAGAUAUUUUCCUACUUUACCUAUUUUACCAAGUUCUCAAUAGAGAAUUAGGAAAAGGGCCUUUGUUGGUUGACAUCCAUGGGAAGCCCAGAACCGCUCAUGCUGAUGUCUGUGUCUUGCUCCUGUCCUCCCACUGCUGGGACUAAAGUGUGUCCUCUGUCUCUUUAUCCCCAUCUCCCAGGCCUGUAUGCCUGCAAAGAAGGCCGAAACAGCCCCUGCUUGGUGUACGUCACUUUCAACCAGAAGAUCUACGUGUACUGGGAGGUGCAGCUGGAGCGGAUGGAGUCCACUAAUCUGCUGAAACUGCUGGAGGCUGAGCCCGAGUACCACAGCCUACUGCAGGAGCUGGGUGUGGAUCCUGAUGAUCUCCCUGCAGUCCGUACCCUGCUUCACCAGACACUUUACCAGCCGGACCAGGCACCACAGUGUACUCCCUCAAGCCUCCAGGACCCCACCUAACUGGGAUUAGUUGGUGAAGGAUCCUUCUGAGCCCACCCCAUCUCAAAGUGAUCCAUGAUCUUGGCAGGCUAAGGAAUGUACAUGACAGCAUUUGAUUCUCUGCAUGGAAGGAUGGUGGUGAUCCUCAUGGUCUUUGAUGAAUGAAGAGAUUAGUUGACCCUCUGCCUCCUGCCUUGUGGGCUUCACCUGGGUCACUAGAUCCCAGUCUUGUUAGAGAUCAUCCAGGUUCCUGUGUUUCCCUCCCCACACUCCCCACUCUGUGCAGAAAACAGACCUGUCUGUGAGAACAAGUGACAUCUUUUGCAGGGCCCCAACACCUGGAAGGAGACCAGGCUUCAGGCCUGAGGAGCAGUGGAGGUAAGGGCCCCUCAUGCUGAGUGCCAUCUUUCAUGAUAUGGCUCAGGCAGCUGACAUGAGUAAUUCUUACAGGAACAGCAGAGUGUGUGUGAGAGUAUCUUUCAGGACUUUUACUCUACUCCAUUUACUGAAGCAGCUUGGUCAGGGCUUUCUUGUUUUGUCAUAAUCUUUUUCUUCUUUUCUAUUUAUUUUGUACUCAAGGUAGAGCCCAGGGCCUUGCACGUUAGGCAAGCACUCUGCCACCAAGCCACACCCCAGCCUUGCUAUAUUCUAAAGUGUUAUACAGUAUAAUAGCCCCACCCACCUGCCUGUCCCAAACAUCUUACUGCCUAUGAAACAAUAGAUGUUUGCAGUUUGUUUUCAUGGUAGUGCACACCUAUAAUCCUGGCACUUGGAGGAUUUUGAGUCCCAGGCUAGCCAGGGCCCCAUAGCAAGUUUGAGACCAGCGUGGGUUACGCACAGACAAAAAAGAUAUUAACAAUCUGAUGCGGGUUUAUGUUCUAGACUGUAAUUAGAAUCAUAUCUUGGGCCAUUUAUGUUCUUUCUGUUCAAGGGUAUGUGUGCUCUAAAUAAGUAUUUUUCAAGUUAUAGGUGGGACUCCUUUGAUGGAUAAUGGCUAGUAUAUUUGUGUGUCUGUGUGUGUGCAUGCUCGUGUGUGUGUGUAUGUAUACCUAGGCACAUGUGUGUGGAGGCCAGAAGAGGAUGUUGGGUCUCCUACUUGCCUACUCUACCUUACUUAUUUGAGAUGGUCUCUCUCUGAACCUGGAGUUUGUUGUGUCAUGUAGGCUGGCUGUUUAGUAAGCCUAAAUGAUGCUCCUGUGUCUGUGCCCAGACUGCUGGGGUGACAGGUACCUGCACAGCUUUUUUAUCUUGGUGCCGGGGCCCCAACUCAGGUUUUUAUGCUUGCACAGCAAGUGCUCUUUACCCACUGAGCCAUCUCCUCAGCCCCUGGAAUUUUUGAACUAAUGAAAUAGAACAAAAUAAAAUAGAAAAUGUCAGAGUCCAUUGCUCACAGUGGAGGGAAGUGUUGUUUUCUUGUAAUUGAAUGCAUAUGAGUGCAGCACACGCGGUGUAAAAUAUAUUUCACAAGCCUUUACUCUCCACUGUGCUCCAGUC
This is a long non-coding RNA of Nannospalax galili (Upper Galilee mountains blind mole rat), 2108 nucleotides long. NCBI's taxonomy places the organism in Eukaryota, Metazoa, Chordata, Mammalia, Rodentia, Spalacidae. The record is from Ensembl.